GGACUCUGAAAAUCUAACCCUAGAUAUUAUAUAUAAAUAGGAGCAGCAGAAAGCAGAAGGGGGGAGCCGAACAAUAGCACCUUCACUAUUUUCAUACAGCCGUCUAAAAGAAUAGUGCAUCAACAUCAAAGAAGAACUCUCAGCUGAAGCUCCACAAGAUCAAAGCUGCAAAAUCUCUUCGGUUCUUUCAUUUCAUCUCCCCAGACAGAUUUUUAUUGUUUUAUUU
This 226-nucleotide unclassified non-coding RNA is filed under the name Hevea brasiliensis (rubber tree). Lineage: Eukaryota; Viridiplantae; Streptophyta; Magnoliopsida; Malpighiales; Euphorbiaceae. The record is from RNAcentral.